This 2135-nucleotide long non-coding RNA is filed under the name Ananas comosus (pineapple). RNAcentral's name for it is "long non-coding RNA (ACOM_LNC003881)". Lineage: Eukaryota; Viridiplantae; Streptophyta; Magnoliopsida; Poales; Bromeliaceae. The record is from RNAcentral.
UGGGAAGAGGCUAAACCUCGGGAAUAAGAAUAUAUCUUGGGAAGGAGAGAGGCCUUGGGAAGAAGGCAAGGUUUCUUGGAAAGGAGAGAGGCCUUGGAAAGGAGAUGAGAGAGAAAGGAAAAACAAAGAAAAAAAAAUGCAAGAAAAAUGCAAGGUUGCCAUGUAUACUUUUAAAGACUGUCAAAUUAUGUAUUGUUAAGGAUAUAACAAUUAUCAAAUAAUACUAUUAAAUAUAUUAAUUAGCAUAAUUUAAAUAAAUAUUGCGGAGUAAAUGUCACUAAAUCAUGAAUUUGUUAUUGUUUGAGAAAAAAUUUAAAUUUAAAUUGAAAAUAUAGAAGGACAAAAAAUAAAUUGUAAUUUGAUUGCUACUUUCCUUAGAAGAUUAGGUAUUAACAAGGAAAGAGAUAACAAAAGUAUUAUUGUCUUAUUCUCAAAAUUUUUGAAUCUAUUAUCAUAUUCUAAAGUAGAACUCUUUAUGAACCCUAUGUGAGAAGCUGACACGUAGCUUUCUAUAUGCUUGUCACGUGUCAAGCUCAAAUAUAGAUUUUCUAUUUUAGGAAAAAUAAAAUUAGAUUUUUUAAGAAAAUAAUAUCAUUUACUAUAUUAUUAAAAAUCACCUAUAAUGAAGGGGAUUUUAUUUCAAAGUCACCUAUAAUUAUGUUGAAUUUCAAAGUCACCAGAUAUUUGAGAAAUUCACGGAUAUUACAUUGGCAAGCAUGAAUAUUACGCGUGAGAAAGAAAAUAUUUAUCUUUAUUUUUAUUUCAAAGUCACUUAAUUAUGUUGAGAUAUUUGAGAAAUUCACGGAUAUUAUGUUGCGAAAGAAUUGGCGGGUGCGGAUAUUACGCGUGAGAAAGAAAAUAUUUAUCUUUAUUUGGGACUAAAUUAUUACAAGCUCAAAUAUAGAUUUUCUACUUUAGGAAAAAUAAAAUUAGAUUUUUUAAGGAAAUAAUAUCUUUUACGAUAUUAUUAAAAAUCACCUAUAGGGGAUUUUAUUUCAAAGUCAUCUAUAAUUAUGUUGAAAUAUUUGGGAAUAAAUUAUUACUUAGUUAAUUAUUUGAAAUGAUUGGUUGAAAAUUACUGGACAUAAAAUAUUAGUAAAAAAGGAUAGAGACAUUUUUCCUAACGUGGCUUUCUAUAUGUUUGUCACGUGUCUUCAUAUUUAUUCUAUUUACUAUGUUAUUAAAUUCAAAUAGUAGGUGGAUUAAUGAGAUAUUUGAGAAAUUCACGGAUAUUACGUUACGAAAGAAUUGGCGGGUGCGAAUAUUACGUGUGAGAAGGAAAAUAUUUGAGAAAAGCGUAGAUAGAAAAUAUGAUAUAAAUGCGAGGGUAAUAUUGUCACAAAAAAUAACAGAUACUUUUAUUUUCAAUCAUUAGAUAAGAUCUAAUGGCAAAAAAUUAAUAUCUUUUAUUAUAUUAUUAAAAAUCACCUAUAAUGAAGGGGAUUUUAUUUCAAAGUCAUCUAUAAUUAUGUUAAGAUAUUUGAAAAAUUCAUGGAUAUUACGUUACGAAAGAAUUGGCGGGUGCAGAUAUUACGCAUAAGAAAGAAAAUAUUUAUCUUUAUUUGGGAAUAAAUUAUUACUUAGUUAAUUAUUUGAAAUGAUUGGUUGAAAAUUACUGAACAUAAAAAUAUUAGUAAAAAGGAUAGAGACAUUUUUGGAAAGCCGAAAAAAUUCAAAACUCACGCUUAAGUAGUAUAGAUAUAGAUAUUGCAUAUCACUUACCUACUAUCACUCCUAUAAUUUUUAUUUCGUAAUUUUUUCCCUACUGUCACUCCUGUAAUUUUUUUCGUUCUUAAAUGUUGAUGCUUUAAAAUAGAACAUAUUAUUUUCAUUUUAUUAUUUAAAUACGAAGCAAGUAUUAAUUUUUUUUCUUGGUUGUCUUAUUGUUCUCAGGAUAUGGGACUUGGGUAUGAUUCUAUACGUGACAUCACUCCUCUUGGAGACAAAUGGAAGAUCAAAGUCAGAGUGAUUUGUCUAUAUACUAUACUUGAAUUUCAUCGUCCAGAGGUGGUGAAUAGCCUAGAGUUAGUUCUUUCUGAUCAAAAUGUAAGUACGACUUUCAUUUUCAAAUUGAACAUACGUUUGCUUUAUUUUUACUAAAAGAUACUAUAUAAUUUGUUUAUUUUCUAUUAUAG